AGAGUUUGAUCCUGGCUCAGGAUGAACGCUAGCGGCAGGCCUAAUACAUGCAAGUCGAACGGGCUGGAGUAGCAAUACUCCAGUUAGUGGCGCACGGGUGCGUAACGCGUAUGCCCUACCUUUUAUUGGGGGAUAGCCCGAAGAAAUUCGGAUUAAUACCGCAUAAUAUCAUUUGAGGGCAUCUGAGGAUGAUUAAAGCUACGGCGAUAAAAGAUGGGCAUGCGUGUCAUUAGCUAGUUGGUUGAGGUAACGGCUCACCAAGGCGACGAUGACUAGGGGUUCUGAGAGGAUGAUCCCCCACACUGGUACUGAGAUACGGACCAGACUCCUACGGGAGGCAGCAGUAGGGAAUAUUGGGCAAUGGCGGAAACGCUGACCCAGCCAUGCCGCGUGCAGGAUGAAGGCCUUCUGGGUUGUAAACUGCUUUUAUCUAGGAAGAAAAUACUCUUGCGAGAGGAACUGACGGUACUAGAUGAAUAAGCACCGGCUAACUCCGUGCCAGCAGCCGCGGUAAUACGGAGGGUGCAAGCGUUGUCCGGAUUUAUUGGGUUUAAAGGGUGCGUAGGCGGCUUCAUAAGUCCGUGGUGAGAGCCAACAGCUCAACUGUUGAACUGCCAUGGAUACUGUGAGGCUUGAGUACAGACGAGGUAGGCGGAAUGGAUCGUGUAGCGGUGAAAUGCAUAGAUACGAUCCAGAACUCCGAUUGCGAAGGCAGCUUACUAGGCUGUAACUGACGCUGAGGCACGAAAGCGUGGGGAGCGAACAGGAUUAGAUACCCUAGUAGUCC
This 787-nucleotide ribosomal RNA is filed under the name uncultured bacterium. Its description in RNAcentral is "bacterial SSU rRNA". It matches the Rfam family "Bacterial small subunit ribosomal RNA", at positions 8 to 796 of the family's 1533-position model. The record is from RNAcentral.